AUACGUAGGUGACAAGCGUUAUCCGGAUUUACUGGGCGUAAAGGGCGUGUAGGCGGUCUUGCAAGUCAGAAGUGAAAUUCCUGAGCUCAACUCGGGCGCUGCUUCUGAAACUGCAGGACUUGAGUGCUGGAGGGGAUAGCGGAAUUCCUAGUGGAGCGGUAAAAUGCGCAGAUAUUAGGAAGAACACCGGUGGCGAAGGCGGCGAUCUGGACAGGAACGGCCGUGGGGGCGAGAAGGUGUGGGCACGAAACAGGAUUAGAUACCCGGGAAGUCCACGCCGUAAACGAGGAAUACUAGGUGUAGGGGGUAUCGACUCCCUCUGUGCCGCAGUGAACACAAUAAGUAUUCCGCCUGGGGAGUGCGGUCGCAAGGUUGAAACUCAAAGGAAUUGGCGGGG
Molecule: ribosomal RNA, 397 nt
Filed under: uncultured bacterium
Lineage: Bacteria
Description: partial 16S ribosomal RNA
Rfam family: Bacterial small subunit ribosomal RNA
Source: RNAcentral